UCAAAUAAACAAAUUUAUGUGAAUUUCUAAGAGAUUAUAUGACAAUGUACAGUAAUCGUUCGCUAAUUGGUCCUGGUUUAACUGGGCGAACGUUAUCAAUUCCAUGAAGUUCCCCUCGAUUUUAUUUGACGUUUAACAUACCGGACCAGUUAAAACGCGAAUGUCGACAACUGGUAUUCCCUUUCGCCCAGUUAGUGAAUGCUUCCUGUAUAUAUAGAACUGUGAACAAAUCAAUAAAGCAUAUUAACAAGUUAAAAAAAGACUCGGAGGAGUUACCCGAUGAAAACGAGGAAUCUGAGGGGACUGAGCGGGCAGUGAAAAAUUUAGUGAAAUACCGGUCUAAGAAUUUCGGAUACAAUGUAUAUAACAAAAAAUAAGGUUAGAGAUGAAAUUUUUAUUUUAUGGUUCGACUUUAAAGUAACACCUGCCUAUUUCACAUUAAAACCGGUAUGCACCAUUAUGCAAAGUAACUGAAUCAUUAAAUGAAACAUUGUCUAAAACAAAUAGUACACAUCAUACUGAAUGUUCACUUUUCGAGCCUUGUUUGUCAAACAUAUAAUCUUAUUCCUGAUUCAUUUUUCUCAUCGAAAAGUUCCACAAAAAGAAACUGCGUUUCAAUAGUUGUUCGCACAUCAAACUAACAUCGAUUCGAUAUUUGUUCAAUGACAAAUAAGAGCAUCAUUAAAAAACAGAAUUACAGUUCUUUUUUAUUAUUAUCACUUUACACUAUAAUGAACAAAAGUUGACCCUUUUUAAAAUGUUUUACCGUAGCAUAUUAGCAUAUACAGCUGAGAUUAACUUCCUCUAGUUUAUUACAAAGCGAUAGUAGUAGGUAGGUAGGGGUAGGGACAGUUAAUUUCUCAUUUGAAUUGUACCCAUUUGACAAAGAAUAAGCGUGAAUAUCCUUGAAGAACCUGAGACACAUUAAUUAGGCUAGAAAGAGAAUACCGAAGAACAGUGUUAAAAUGUAAGGUUGUGAAUCGGUACAACUUAACACUGCUGCUUCCAUAAACGAGGAACACAUCUUCAAUAGUCUUUGUGUAGAAUCACCAAGCGAGAACAGAACUAUUUUUUCGUUGUUUAUUUUUUUUGGUCAAUGUGAUAAUUCUGUUCACAAUAAUACUCCAUCAUAUUGUUAUGCCUAUCCACUUUUGAGAGUUUUAACAAAACUGACUGAUAAAUGGGUUCCUCCUCAACGUGAUCACACCUAUCGAGUGUGAGAGCCUGUCCUAUUUCCCACCAGGCGAUGGCUUCUUUUUUAUCAUACUCACCUGGUGCUGUGCUGAAGUAGCCUGUUGUACUUGAACUUGUUGCGCUGUAAUCUGAGUCUGUUGCUGUUGUGCUGCUUGUACAGCUGCAGCGGUUCCAUCACCAAUCGUGCAAGUAACAGUCCCAGCGGAUGAUGUAAUUAUUUGCUGCUGAGAAGCUUGAAUCUGUAGAACUUGUGACGCAGCUUGUUGCGUGUGUUGCUGCUGUGAUAGGCCUCCUCCUGUGUUCAGUUGUUGCGUUUGCUGAAUAUCGUUAUUGGGGGUAGCGGACACGACUUGGGAUUGCUGAACCGUCACGGCCACAAGUGAACCACUGGGUGUUUGUAACCGAACCGGACUUGCGUUCUGACGUUGGUUUUGUGUGUUUUGUAGCGCUGUUAGGAUCGCCUGUUGUUGUUGCGCGGGUGUUGCUCCAGCUGCCACCUUGAUGGUUCCGAUAUUUUGUGUAGGUACAUGAGCCCGAAUGUUACCGGCAGCUAUCGCCUGAGCAGCUGAUGUAGCCGUUACCACCUGUAAAUAGAGGAAGUCAGUAUACGAAAUGAUGAACUACAAAAUUAACUUUCAUCAAACCUGAAUUGUUUGUCUCUGAUUGGGUUGCUGCGAGACCGAUACUGGGAUAACUCUUCCAACACUUGUUUUACCCAGCACUAUUUGUCCACCCGCAGCUAGGGAAGCCGGCUGAGCAUGCCGAAUUACUUGUUGUAUCUGUUGUACGGUAACCGUUCCCGCUGGAAGAUUUUUAGGGCCUUGAACGAACAGUUGCGUUGGCUGACCAGAUUUCCCCGCUACUUGUGUGAUUUGAGUCAUUUUUCCACCCUUCCGCUGCUGAGCUGCGAUUAUCUGUUGCUGCAGCUGGAGUUGUCGCACCUGGCUCUGAUUGCUGAUUGUCUUGAUUUGGCCUGGUUUAACCUGCGAUAAGGUCAUUCCCGUUGCCGCCACAGUACCACUGGAGGUUUUAACUAGCGUCGUAAUUUGCUGACCAGAUGUACCCGCCUGUUGCACUUGUAAGUUUGCCGGUGCAAAAAUCUGCGCCUGUGGCAUCAGUUGUUGCUUAUGUUGCUGACUGAUGAUUUGUCUUUUCACCAUAAGCUGCAUUUCAUUUUCAGUCACCUGCCGAGUGGUUAUCAUUUGUUUCGUGCCAACCUGUUUGAUAAAUUGAGUCCGUUGUUGUCCAGGAGCCACCUGGACUGUGGCAAUAGUUCCUGCUUGCGUUGAUACCCCACUCACAGCAGCGUUGGUGGUACUUACCGUGGCAACCGAAACCUUUUGAGCUGUUUGUUGUACUUGUACAGCUUGUCCAACGGCACCUGUUUGAAUGAUAUUUCCCUGAAUUAUUGCUGGGCUCACCAACGUUGGUUGACCAGUACCCUGUUGAAGUACUGUCGUGGUCGUACCUUGGGCAGAAUUCGGAUGCAAAACCUUCAACUGCUGCCUAAUCGGUUGUUGACGAUAGAAUUGAAUCUGAGAAGUGUUUAUAGGUUUCCCUGCACUAGUUACCGUGCCCAUAGAUAUUCCUUUCGCCACAACACCGGAAACUUGCUGCCCACCAGCCAUGGAUAAUCGUAGCUGAGCAGUUUGCAACUGCGCCUGGGUUAAGCUCUGCCCCAAUCCACUCACACUCACUACGGUGGGACUUUGUGAGCCCGAGCGUUGAUGAAGAACCACUUCUUGUAAUGUUCCCGGAGGAGCAACGAUACGCUGAGCUCUCAAGGCAGACGUAGUAAGUGUUGUUACUUGCGGCUGUUGAAUUGUUGCAGUUGUCAUAACAGUUCCUACAGUCGCCAAUUGAGCGACAGAUACUACCUGUGGCAACGAUUGGGUCGCUAGGGUUUGAACCACGCUGUUGGACGAUUGUGUAAUCGUUGGAUUGCUCGGUAUAAUUUGCGAUGAAGAUUGAUGGAUCGACACAAUCUGUGGUUGUGAAAGCUGUACCUGGUUUGUGGACAUUGUGGUUACCGGAGUAGUCAAGACAACUGAAACCUGCUGCUGGGGACUAUUUUGUGCAACGGCCAACUGCUGAGUAAUGAUAUUCUGAUUAGCUGAACUGGCUACAAUUGCUUUCACUAUCUGGUGUUGAUUGGGUGUAGGACAGAUGUUUACUACAGACUGAGCACGACCAGCUUGAUUUGAGGGCGCUUGAACUAGUGUCGCCACUGCAGAAGCGCUCGUACCAAUACCACUCACAACAAUCGUAGCUUGUUGCAUUUGACUUCCCGCAGUUGCAGUCGCGACAUGUUGAGGUACAUGUGGUUGGAUUUGGAUUUGCUGUUGCACUUGCUGUUGGAUAACAUGUGCUUGAGGCGGUUGAACAACUUGCUGUGAUGGAAUGGAAUGGAAGUGAGUGAAAAAGUCUAAACUAUAAACGAAUUCUCGCUUAGAAGUUGGAAAUAGUAUCUCAGAUCGCAGUCAAACUUUGUGGGUGUAAAAAAAUUGGCCAUUUGAGCAUCUUUACAUGCUUGAAAAUACAAAAAAAAAUCUAGACGACGUUCUUGAGAAAGAUUUAAUGGUUUUUUCUCAAAUUUUCCGAAAAAAAUCACAACUCAAAAAAACCUACAAAGUUUUGAUCGAAGAAUGUGUGGGUAUUAGCAUAAACACAUAUACACGGAUACAUAAAGUCAAAUGUUGCUACCCACCCGUAUUUGUCUCAGUUCCCAUAUUGGUGACUCGCGACGUCGCGUAGAAAAUUUCGUCGAUUUCGUCGUGUUCUUAUGACGAUUUAAACCAGUACUACCAGGUACUCAACUUUUUUCAGAAGGGCCACAAACACAUGUUAGUCAUAGUGUUGCGGACCGCAAAAAAAACAAAGGUGGUGUCCAAAACACAACCGCAAUUUUAACGUACGACUACGAAAUCCGAACCUAAUCGGAUGUGUGGAAGGGUGCCGAUGUCGAUAGCAACCGCUGCCAAACAAAUUUUCACCGCCGAAAAUACCUUGCGGAAAAUCACUAAUAAGCAAUUCAUGACUUAUCAGUCAUCCAGCCAGCGAUUAAAUAACAGCAGCAGUGAGACUUUCCAAAUGCCCUUUCUCAAAGUCGAGUGUUUAGAUUAUUUUUUAUAUAUAGGCAUUUUUCGAGGCUAGAGGCUAAUGAACUGAGAAUGAGAAAACCUCUAUAAUACAAAACAUUGGCAUCAUUACACGUUUACAGUGAAAAACUUUUCAACUAGUUGCAUUUUCAACGAAUUUAAACAGAAUUUUCUGCCGGCGCUUUAAAAUCGUGAUGUUGUUACAUAAAAUAGACUCCUAAAUUAAUACCGUACCUUUUUAGCAACCCAAAAAAAUUGGGGUAUUGCCAGAUACCUUUAGAAGGUUUUGGCUAGGUGAAAUAUUGAAAGAAUAUUCCAAGUGCAGCAAAAGAAUAUUUUUUGUUGGUGGCAAUAUAGUUGCCAGUACCCGUUAAAGGCUUAAAUUAUCUUUUGUAGCUUUUUUUAACGUCAACCGGAAGUUGUCCAUUUUUAAAUGUAAGCUGUGCUUAGGGAAGGGUAGUCAUAUUAUGUGCCCUAUUAUAAAAAUUGAGGCGAUAAGAAUUUUGAUCGUUUUGAUCGACCCUAUUUUACUAUUAUAGGGCCCUAUCUAGAAAUCGAAGCGAUAAGAAUUUUGCUCGUUAGCUCUAUUUUACUAUUAUAGAUACCGAGAAAGACGAUAGCAUCGAACGAGUGAAUGCUAUCGGUACAACUGUCAUAAUUUCCUGAGCAAUUCGUUUUGGUUUGGUUGUUGCUUUUGAUGUAUGUUCUGAUUCGUUCGUUUGUGUUGAUCAGUAUUUGUUUCCUGGUGCUGCCAGAACAGUCUAUACGAGAUAAGUGUUCAAUCCAGAAUAAUUUAUACCCAUAAUGUUAAAAUUUACAAUGCAGGAUUUACUUCCAGCGCAUAUUUGAUUGACUGGAAAUGAGUGGGACAUCCCAUGCGUCUUGGCUCAGAAUGACAGAAAGUAAGUGUUUCUUCUAUGAUACAAACAGUAAAUUAACCCUAUUGGGUAUACCGAGGCACCACUCAGUGUUUCCUUAGAGGCGAUUGUGACCUAUAAUUGGACAUUCGCGAAAACAGUGAUACAGUAUCAACCCUCAAUCUGGGCCGUAAUUUGGGUCCCAAACUCGAUGUUUACAAAAAUGUCCAAUUAAAAGCGAAAAUGUUUAAUUAUUCGUGUCGCAUUACAGGUCUGUCCAAUGAGCUAGAUGUCAAUAUAUAUUAGACUAAUGUAAUAUUAAAUAUAUAUUGAAACGUCACGUUUUUUUUUUCAAAUAAAACAGAUUUUCUCAACUCUGAACCUUUAUACGGAAUUUCGUUUAUACUUCAAAUACUCUAUCACCAAUUCCCCAAAGAAUGUUACUAAUUGACAAAUUGACGUAAUAUAUCAUAGAGCAGUGAAUGAAAAUCUGAUUGAACCUUACUCACACAUGCUAGUCUUAAACUCUAACCACUCGUUAUUUCAUGCUAGAAUAAAUUGAAAGAUUGCAUACAAAAAAAAUUCAUGCGUAACUGUCGUUUUUAUUACAAAUGAAACAGUGCAUGCCUUACGCCUAUUAAAGUUCAUUCGUUGAGGGAAUAUCAGUUUUCUCCAAAACAUUACCAUAUUAACACUUUUGGAAAUACAGAUAUUUAAAAUUUUCAUAGCAGAUGUCUCAAAAAAAGAUUUCGCAUCCUUUCUAUAGCGCUUUGUGAAACCUUUCAAACCCGUUUCAAAAUAUUUCAGCAACACAUAUAAUUCCAGAUUUUACUCGGCGUGGUAGUGAUAGUGAUUGUAUCGAAUCCUCGAUUCGAUUUCUAUAAUAAGGCCCAUAGAUACCGAGCAAUUCGAUAGUAUCGAGCGAGUGAUAGCUAUCGGUGCAAGUAUUAUAAUUUUUCGAGUUGUUUGGUUCGUUUGUUGCAUAUCUUCAGAGAAUUAUUUUGUUACGCGUAAAUAUAUGCAAUCACAACACAUGAGCUCGGUAUGAGAUUGGGCCCUAUUAUAGAAAUCGAGGUGAUAAGAAUUUUGCAAAACAUACUUCCAGAGCAUAUUUCAGUGGCUGAAAAUGAGUGGACAGACAAAUCACCACCAGUUUGAACGACUCGUUGAACCAAUGAAAACGAAUGUAAACAUUGCUCGAGGUAUUUGUGGAGGCAGUUCAAAUAGAAUCCCGGUUAAGGAAAAGUGGGAGGAAUUCAAUGAGGAACUUAUUUGCUGAGUCCAUCAAUGCGUCUUGGUUCAGAAUGGCAGAAAAUUUGGACAUGAGGUGAAUGGUAAAGAAAACACUAGCACACAACAAGCGAGAAUUUAGGGCCACAGGUGGUGGCCCAAUACAAUAAAGCCAUUGACGCCGCUACAACAAGAAAUCGAAAUCGAAUUGAAAUCGAUUGCAGUUGUGAAAAUACAUGAGAAAGUUCAUUUUCUAAUAAUUAUGGGCCCUAUUAUAGAAAUCGAGGCGAUAAGAAUUUUGCUCGUUAGCUCUAUUUUACUAUUAUAGAAAUCGAGCAAUUCGAUAGCACCGAGCGAGUGAUAAAUGCAUGUGUCAGAACUUUUCGAGUUGUUUGGUUCACUUGUUGCAUAUCUUCAGAGAAUUAUUUUGUUUUGGCUUGCAUCCCUUUGGGAAACAUUUCAGAAACGCUUCAAUAUAUGCAAUUUGCAACACAUGUUCGUUUGUUUUGAUCAGCAUUUGUUUUACGGUGCUGCCAGAAUAGUCAAUACAAGCGCAUAAAUGAGUGGUGGAAGAAAAAAAACCAAAUCACCACCAGUUUGAACGGCUCCUUGAAACAAUGGAAGCGAACGUAGACAUUGCUCGAGAUCUUUGUGGAGGCAGUUCUAAUAUAAUCCCGGUGUAGGAAAAGUUGGAGGAAUCCAGAGAGGAACUUAAUGCACUGAGACCACCAAUGCAUCUAGGUUCAGAAUGACAGAAAGUUUGGAUUGACAUGAGGGGAAACGUAAAGAAAACACUAGCACACAACAAGCGAGAAUUUAGAGCAACAGGUGGUGGUCCCAAUAUAAUAAAGAUAUUGACGCCGCUACAACAAGAAAUCGACGCUAAAAGAGAAUUACAUGUUGCAUUACAUGAAUAACAAAAAUUGUUUUGCUAAAAAAAAGUGAAAUUCGUGCGUGACUCUCUUCGGAA
Long non-coding RNA from Toxorhynchites rutilus septentrionalis, 7349 nucleotides. RefSeq lists it as uncharacterized. Lineage: Eukaryota; Metazoa; Arthropoda; Insecta; Diptera; Culicidae. The transcript has 4 exons. The record is from RefSeq and is a predicted model, not a curated record.